RNAcentral lists this signal recognition particle RNA (299 nucleotides) under Aotus nancymaae (Ma's night monkey). RNAcentral describes it as "Metazoan signal recognition particle RNA (ENSANAG00000004112.1)". It matches the Rfam family "Metazoan signal recognition particle RNA". Rfam says of the family: The signal recognition particle (SRP) is a universally conserved ribonucleoprotein. It is involved in the co-translational targeting of proteins to membranes. Lineage: Eukaryota; Metazoa; Chordata; Mammalia; Primates; Aotidae. The record is from RNAcentral.
GCCGGGCGCGGUGGCGCGUGCCUAUAGUCCCAGCUACUCGGGAGGCUGAGGUGGGAGGAUUGCUUGAGCCCAGGAGUUCUGGGCUGUAGUGCGCUAUGCCGAUCCGGUGUCCGCACUAAGUUCGGCAUCAAUAUGGUGACCUCCAGGGAGCUAGGAACCACCAGGUUGCCCAAGGAGGGGUGAACCGGCCCAGGUCGGAAAUGGAGCAGGUCAAAACUCCUGUGCUGAUCAGUAGUGGGAUCGCGCCUGUGAAGAGCCACUGCACUCCAGCCUGGGCAACAUAGUGAGACCCCGUCUCU